UCCUACGGGGGGCAGCAGUAGGGAAUUUUCGUCAAUGGGCGCAAGCCUGAACGAGCGAUGCCGCGUGAGUGAAGAAGGCCUUCGGGUCGUAAAGCUCUGUUGCGGGGGAAAAAAGGCAGCAUCAGGAAAUGGGUGCUGACUGAUGGUGCCCCGCCAGAAAGUCACGGCAAACUACGUGCCAGCAGCCGCGGGAAUACGUAGGUGGCGAGCGUUAUCCGGAAGGAUUGGGCGUAAAGGGGGCGCAGGCGG
Molecule: ribosomal RNA, 249 nt
Filed under: uncultured bacterium
Lineage: Bacteria
Description: partial 16S ribosomal RNA
Rfam family: Bacterial small subunit ribosomal RNA
Source: RNAcentral